GACGAAGGAUGCAAGCGUUAUCCGGAUCCAUUGGGUUUAAAGGGAGCGUAGGUGGCCUUAUAAGUCAGUGGUGAAAUCUCUGGGCUUAACCCAGAAAUUGCCAUUGAUACUGUAGGGCUUGAGUAUAGUUGCCGUUGGCGGAAUAUGACAUGUAGUGGUGAAAUACAUAGAGAUGUCAUAGAACACCGAUUGCGAAGGCAGCUAACGAAACUAUAACUGACACUGAGGCUCGAAAGUGCGGGGAUCAAACAGG
RNAcentral lists this ribosomal RNA (253 nucleotides) under uncultured bacterium. RNAcentral's name for it is "partial 16S ribosomal RNA". It matches the Rfam family "Bacterial small subunit ribosomal RNA", at positions 524 to 776 of the family's 1533-position model. The record is from RNAcentral.